Long non-coding RNA from Oncorhynchus keta (chum salmon), 684 nucleotides. RefSeq lists it as uncharacterized. The transcript has 5 exons. The record is from RefSeq and is a predicted model, not a curated record. Lineage: Eukaryota; Metazoa; Chordata; Actinopteri; Salmoniformes; Salmonidae.
UGUAACCAAUAAACAGACAAGGAGGGGGAGGAAAAAAAUCAGUGGCAGCUGGUGACCGGUGACCGGCCGGUGACGACGACCGCCAAGCGCCACGCGAACGGGAAGGGGAGCCACCUUCGGGGACACUCAUCUUUCCACCUGAACUGCUUCGGGAUCAGUGUCCGUUCCACGGGACAAGCUUAUAUUGUAGGUUCUGAUAAGGGUCUGAAGAAGAGAGGUUGAAAGAUUGAAAAAGGCGGCGAAAAUAAAACACACUACAGGAUGAUGUAGAAGACGUGCCGCCCCCAAGAAGUCACAGCAUGACACAUCAGCAUCCAGCUCUGCAGGAUCAGGAAGCAGAUGUUCUUCUAAGGGACACCCUAGAGGCAGCAAGGUGGUGCGAACGCCAAACAUUUAAAGGCACCGUUUACCUCCCAGGUGUAAUUGGGAUGGAUGGGGAAGACCGCAUUACAACCCUUAAAGAACUACAGUUGUAUGAUGGCCUGGAUGAAGAGGACAUUAUUCUCCUCAAGGAACCGUUCAUGUUUCAGUUACAGAGAGAUGAUGAGAUGUGCUAUGUGUUGACAACAAGAAAAUGACUAUCUUUGCCUCUUUUGAAGAGCAGGGUUGAAGCGGUUGGUCAAACCUUGUUUUUGUCUGCUGUGUUAAUCAUUUCAAUUGUUAAUUGUGUUUAUGUUGUUUAGU